Stegodyphus mimosarum is the source of this 73-nucleotide non-coding RNA. The record is from Rfam. NCBI's taxonomy places the organism in Eukaryota, Metazoa, Arthropoda, Arachnida, Araneae, Eresidae.
GCCUUCGUGGUGCAGUGGCCAGCACACUCGACGCGAAACCGAGAAGUCCGUGGUUCGAUUCCCGGCGAAGGCG